UGGGGAAUAUUGCGCAAUGGACGAAAGUCUGACGCAGCGACGCCGCGUGUGGGAUGACGGUCUUCGGAUUGUAAACCACUGUCGGGAGGGACGAAUACGCCGCAAGGCGGGUGACGGUACCUCCAAAGGAAGCACCGGCUAACUCCGUGCCAGCAGCCGCGGUAAUACGGAGGGUGCGAGCGUUGUCCGGAAUCACUGGGCGUAAAGGGCGCGUAGGCGGCCUGAUAAGUAGGGGGUGAAAUCUUGCGGCUUAACCGCAAGGCUGCCUUCUAAACUGUCGGGCUCGAGCACAGUAGAGGCAGGUGGAAUUCCCGGUGUAGCGGUGGAAUGCGUAGAGAUCGGGAAGAACAUCAGUGGCGAAGGCGGCCUGCUGGGCUGUUGCUGACGCUGGGGCGCGACAGCGUGGGGAGCAAACAGG
Molecule: ribosomal RNA, 418 nt
Filed under: Acidobacteriota bacterium
Lineage: Bacteria; Pseudomonadati; Acidobacteriota
Description: Acidobacteria bacterium partial 16S ribosomal RNA
Rfam family: Bacterial small subunit ribosomal RNA
Source: RNAcentral